GUAUAAGGUUUAUAGGCACAAGGGCCCAAAUGAUACAUUCUGUUACAUGCUAUGGGGUAUAUAAAAAAAAACGUAGACCGGGAAAUACAAAGAAAGCUUGAGAAGCAUUCCUCCAGACCGAGUUGCCUCGGAAAGUCUAUCCCCCAAGUCUACAAGAGGUGCACAGGUGGAGAGAUGAGGAUGGUGGGUGUGCACAUGCCCCCAAAAGGGCCAGCAACAACCACACCAAGUUCAUUCAAUAAUGAUCCUUCCGCAGGUUCACCUACGGAAA
RNAcentral lists this unclassified non-coding RNA (271 nucleotides) under uncultured fungus. Its description in RNAcentral is "sequence contains ITS1". The record is from RNAcentral. Lineage: Eukaryota; Fungi.